UUUUAGGGGGAGGACCUUUGCUUGGACGAGUUUGGUGUGAAACCCUGACCUCAAGUCCGCUAAAGCAGCGAUGACAAGCCUCCAUCAGUUUCAACUUGCAAUUGCUGUGUGACAGUGUGCGUGCUGACUGACAGGAGUCGAGGGUUGAAUGCCAGCAUCGUCACUACAGCGCAAAUCAUGGCGAUGGAAGAAAAAAAGUCCCAAUAUUUUUGAAAAGCAGUAUUGUGACGCUUAGCUUGGCAUCGUGGUGCGGGUUCGUUCUCUCAAUCGACGCAGUCGGACUCGGACACGGCGUGAAGGCAUCCAUCCAUUUUCUACCGCUUGUCCCUUUCGGGGUUUCGAGGGGUGCUGGAGCCUAUCUCAGCUGCAUUCGGGCGGAAGGCGGAGUACACCCUGGACAAGUCACCACCUCAUCGCCGGGCCAACACAGAUAGACGAUGACAUGAAAAAGAAGAACAAGAAUGAUUGAUCUGAUAACAUGGUCAGAGUGCUGAAGAGUUCCUCCAGUGACGUCAGUCUCCGGAAACAGCCGAAGGUAUUUGGGGCAGAAUAUUCAAAAUGGCUGACUUGAGUUUGUGGCAUUUUUUGAUGUUUAGACUGUAUUUUCACAUACUGCCGAUUGGUAAAUACAAUGAAACACAGUUAAGAAAGUAGUCACCUUGUUUUCCCACUAUGGUGCGGCCCUUUUUGAAAAUACUAUUUAAAAAAAUGAACAUAGCUUCAUGAUGCAGUAACAGUCAACACUUAAGUAUGUGGUCCUUUUUUAAAUCAAAGUAC
Nerophis ophidion (straightnose pipefish) is the source of this 777-nucleotide long non-coding RNA. RefSeq lists it as uncharacterized. Lineage: Eukaryota; Metazoa; Chordata; Actinopteri; Syngnathiformes; Syngnathidae. The record is from RefSeq and is a predicted model, not a curated record. The transcript is spliced from 4 exons.